Fukomys damarensis (Damara mole-rat) is the source of this 112-nucleotide non-coding RNA. The record is from Rfam. NCBI's taxonomy places the organism in Eukaryota, Metazoa, Chordata, Mammalia, Rodentia, Bathyergidae.
AAUGCUGUUGCAGCUGGGAUUUAAGUGCUUUUAACCAGUCAGCAUUCUGAAGAACUUGAGGACCUCUUACGCUGUGCUAAAGCUGGAAUAUUUGGGAAUUUGGAGAAUGAAG